GCUCCACCUCCUUGGCCCUCGUGCACAGAGGCUUGUCCCAAGGAAGCUGACACAGCGCUGCUGGUCCGGCUGAGAGGUCGGGGCGGACAGAGUGCUACCACCCAGGACCCCUCCUCUCAGACCUCUCAGGAGCCCUCUGGGGACAUACCGAGGGUGACACAAAGAGGAGGAAGGUGACAGCUGUUUGCAGGGAUAACGCCAAACCCUCAACCACCAGGCCACCAGGGAACUCCUCCCACUGCUUACAAGUUGCAGGCAGCAGCUGAUGUUUCUCUAGAGGUGGACUUGGGUCAGCCUGGAGGUGGAGUAGCUGUGUCACCCUCAAGGCCAAGUUCUGCUAAAGCUCCGUCCGAGUCUUGCUUUGGGGAUUCACAGGAGGGAUCCAGUUCUGAGCUUCCCAGCCUGGAAAGAGUGGCUACAGCCAGAAGGUAACUGCAGGUGGGGCAACGGGACUAGAACCUGAUCCUUGGGGUGGGAAUCUUCAGGCCUGCUGUGAUAGGAAGUCGGAGGGCAGAGAAAUCCAGACCUUCUAGAGAGACCGCAGGAAGUCCACCCCCCACCCCCACCCCGCGCCCAGGCCCUCCCGAAGCACAGGGCUAAGCUAACGGACUCCAUUCUUCCUUUUUUUCAGAUGAAAAAAUUAAAACCUUCCAAGGUCAAAUACAUUUUGCAAACAAACUUUUGAUAGGCCAAGUCAGCAGAUUUCCUGCAGGACUUGUCAGAGCCUUUAAUAUGCUAAUGCGCACAUCAUUCUUUCACAUCUCCCACACUGCCCCUAGCCCCUUGGCUGUCCUCCUUCCUGAUGCUGGAGAGAAAGAGAAAGGGGAGAGGGGUCGACUGUAAGUCCCUGGGUUGCCACCUCCACCCGUCUAUGCCCACCUUGGAAUCUGGCCCACAGAGGGCUCUGGCAGAAGGCAGGAGAAGCGGCAGACCGGCAGACAUCAGGCCAGAAGGUCUGAUAGGACCUGCUAUUCUGAUUUACAAACAGGAGCAUUCAAGUCAAGCCCUAUUAGGAUGCUCUGCCAGUCACUUCCCUUGGACUCUAAGCAAUGGUAUACAUGUCUUUUUUUGUUUUUUUUGGUGAUUUUUUUUUGGCUGCACCCAAGCCACAGCAGCCAUAGCAGCGACCUGAACUGCUGAAGUGACAAGGCAGGAUCUUUAAUCCACUGCACCACAAGGGAACUCCUUCCACUAUGUGCUUUUUAAAUUUGAGGGCAGCUAAGGAAAAGUGUCCAUAAACUCUGAAUUUUUUUUUUUUUUUUUUUUUUUUUGCGGGGGUUGGGGGUGGUGGGGUAAGGGGUGGGGGAGGAAGGCAACAAUUUCCCAAAUGUGGGGAACACGUGGUCAUUGCAGAGCCACGGGUGGCCAAGCCAAGAGAGAGCUCUGCUGACCAUGCCUGCCUGUCAUGCACAGAAGCGCUUGGGGAAGGAUGGCCUGAGAGUGAAAUCUUGCGGGCUCCGCUUUCAACCCCAAGCUUGCUGGGCAUAAAAGAACAGAACAAAAACAGGCCCUGGAGGCAGCAGUGAGCAGAUUCUUUACUGUCAGGUUCUAUACCCUCGCCCGCCCGCCGCCGCCGCGGAGGUGACCAGCGUUAAGACGAACACGAAUUGUUCUUUACAAAAGGAAGUUUCCGGCCCUCCCAACACCCUCCUUCCUAACUCCCUUCCCCAGACAGUGAGCUCCCUGGUCUGGUGGGUCGCAAAGAAAAACAAAGAAAGAAUAUAAAAGAGAAUCUAAGUCAGCGACUCGAGUCGUAGGCAACUGGAGUUUCCGGCCCGCUGGCGGAUGGCGAGCCAGGGACGCGCGCAGGCCGUGUCUGCAACAGUCGUGUGUGUCAGCGUGAAGAGGGGAGGGCAGGAGGCAGGACCCGGGGGUGCUGGGGUGAGCCGCCCUUCUCCCCACCCCCUAU
This is a non-coding RNA of Sus scrofa (pig), 1909 nucleotides long. The record is from RefSeq and is a predicted model, not a curated record. Lineage: Eukaryota; Metazoa; Chordata; Mammalia; Artiodactyla; Suidae.